CCUACGGGCGGCUGCAGUGAGGAAUAUUGGUCAAUGGCCGCAGUGCUGAACCAGCCAAGCCGCGUGAGGGAUGACGGCCCUAUGGAUUGUAAACCUCUUUUGUCAGGGAGCAAAGCGCGCCACGUGUGGCGUUCUGCGAGUAUCCGAAGAAAAAGCAUCGGCUAACUCCGUGCCAGCAGCCGCGGUAAUACGGAGGAUGCGAGCGUUAUCCGGAUUUAUUGGGUUUUAAGGGUGCGUAGGCGGAAUGUCAAGUCAGCGGUAAAAUUUCGGGGCUCAACCCCGUCGUGCCGUUGAAACUGGCAGUCUUGAGUGGGCGAGAAGUAUGCGGAAUGCGUGGUGUAGCGGUGAAAGGCAUAGAUAUCGCGCAGAACUCCGAUUGCGAAGGCAGCGUACCGGCGCUAGACUGACGCUGAUGCACGAAAGCGUGGGGAUCGAACAGGAUUAGAUACCCGGGUAGUC
RNAcentral lists this ribosomal RNA (459 nucleotides) under uncultured bacterium. RNAcentral describes it as "partial 16S ribosomal RNA". It matches the Rfam family "Bacterial small subunit ribosomal RNA", at positions 338 to 795 of the family's 1533-position model. The record is from RNAcentral.